This is a long non-coding RNA of Xenia sp. Carnegie-2017, 378 nucleotides long. RefSeq lists it as uncharacterized. Lineage: Eukaryota; Metazoa; Cnidaria; Anthozoa; Malacalcyonacea; Xeniidae. The record is from RefSeq and is a predicted model, not a curated record. The transcript has 4 exons.
GUGAAUCCUCUGCUCAAGAGUCAUGUGGGGGAAACACCGCUUUGCCAGUGGAAAACUUUUUCAAGUGGAAUUCAGCCAUCCCACGUGCUUCUUACUCAUCGAACACACCUCGUUGUAACCAAACAUUGUUUGAUGACUCUCAACAAUUUGGAAUGCAUGCCCCUCGAGGACAAUCCAGUCUUCUAUCUUCUCUUCAUGGACUACUGAGCUCUGGCUAGCCAUCUUCAACUGCUCAAAUCACUCCAUCUUCAAGAUGGCAAGGACAAUCAAUCCCAUGGCAAUUACAUGGAUAUACACCUUGUUACCAUUCCAUAUCCUCUUCAACCUCCACCUUCAUCUUCUUCAGUUUUUGAUUUUCAAGAUGCCCCACCUACAAGG